UGGUGGAGUGAUUUGUCUGGUUAAUUCCGAUAACGAACGAGACCUUAACCUGCUAAAUAGCCAGGCCGGCUUUUGCUGGUCGCCGGCUUCUUAGAGGGACUGUCAGCGUUUAGCUGACGGAAGUUUGAGGCAAUAACA
RNAcentral lists this ribosomal RNA (138 nucleotides) under uncultured eukaryote. RNAcentral's name for it is "partial 18S ribosomal RNA". It matches the Rfam family "Eukaryotic small subunit ribosomal RNA", at positions 1299 to 1458 of the family's 1831-position model. The record is from RNAcentral.